Non-coding RNA from Potamilus streckersoni, 73 nucleotides. The record is from the annotation of a GenBank genome assembly. Lineage: Eukaryota; Metazoa; Mollusca; Bivalvia; Unionida; Unionidae.
GCUCCGGUGGCCUAGUGGUUAGAGUUUCAACCUCGGAUGCGGAAGGUCGUGGGUUCGAGCCCCGGUCGAGUCA